UAUGGCCAUAUCAUGUAGAAACACUAGUUCUCAUACGAUCACUGAAGUUAAGCAACAUUGAGUCCAGUCUGUACCUAAAUGAGUGGCUGCUUGGGAAUACCAGGUUCUGUAAG
Molecule: non-coding RNA, 113 nt
Organism: Acanthosepion pharaonis
Lineage: Eukaryota; Metazoa; Mollusca; Cephalopoda; Sepiida; Sepiidae
Source: the annotation of a GenBank genome assembly